AUUGAACGCUGGCGGCAUGCCUUACACAUGCAAGUCGAACGGUAACAGGUCUUCGGAUGCUGACGAGUGGCGAACGGGUGAGUAAUACAUCGGAACGUGCCCGAUCGUGGGGGAUAACGAAGCGAAAGCUUUGCUAAUACCGCAUAAGAUCUACGGAUGAAAGCAGGGGACCGCAAGGCCUUGCGCGAACGGAGCGGCCGAUGGAAGCUUAGGUAGUUGGUGGGAUAAAAGCUUACCAAGCCGACGAUCUGUAGCUGGUCUGAGAGGACGACCAGCCACACUGGGACUGAGGCACGGCCCAGACUCCUACGGGAGGAAGCAGUGGGGAAUUUUGGACAAUGGGCGAAAGCCUGAUCCAGCCAUGCCGCGUGCAGGAUGAAGGCCUUCGGGUUGUAAACUGCUUUUGUACGGAACGAAAAGACUCUGGUUAAUACCUGGUGUCCAUGACGGUACCGUAAGAAUAAGCACCGGCUAACUACGUG
This 482-nucleotide ribosomal RNA is filed under the name uncultured bacterium. RNAcentral's name for it is "partial 16S ribosomal RNA". It matches the Rfam family "Bacterial small subunit ribosomal RNA", at positions 30 to 507 of the family's 1533-position model. The record is from RNAcentral.